This 628-nucleotide long non-coding RNA is filed under the name Pan troglodytes (chimpanzee). RNAcentral's name for it is "lincRNA". The record is from RNAcentral. Lineage: Eukaryota; Metazoa; Chordata; Mammalia; Primates; Hominidae.
GGAACUCAUGAACUCAACAGAUUGUCCCACCUCAGCCUCUCAAAGUGCUGGGAUUACAGAUGGAGUCUUGUUGUCUCCCAGGCUGCUGGAGUGCAAUGGUGCAAUCUCGGCUCACUGCAACCUCUGCCUCCUGGAUUCAAGCGAUUCUCCUGCCUCAGCCUCCCAAGUAGCUGGAAUUACAGCUCAAAGCACCUGUCAUAAAAAUAUUAACUUGUAAUAAAAGUGUUUAGUAACACUAAUAUGUGAUGGCAGUUUCAGGAAAGUCAAUGUUCUGAGCAAGAAGAACAAGGAACAGAAGGUAUAAUGAUAACAGAUGAGAGAGGAAAAAGCAGACUCAAUCAACUCCUACUUUUCCAUCAUUUUUCCGUUACAGAGAAUUAUCCUCAAAUUAGAAGGAGUAGGACCUACAUGGUAAAGAAAAAAUUUACGUGCAAGGCAGAUGAGGAAGUAGGAGAGCAUCCAGCCCCUUCACACAACUUCAUUCUCUGUCUUACCGAAAGAAUGUGAAAUGUGGUGGUAGCUUUACUGGGGACAGGAGAGGUGCCAGAAGUUUGAAGAUGGACUAAUCUCCUUGUUUUCUAAAAGAAGAACCUAUAAGUCUCUGAGCACAUUUUUCUUUGGCAAAAUU